UGGUCAAGUUAUUAAGGGUGCAGGGCGGAUGCCUUGGCACUAGGAGCCGAUGAAGGACGUGAUAAGCUGCGAUAAGCUUCGGGGAGUUGCACGUAAACUUUGAUCCGAAGAUUUCCGAAUGAGGAAACUCACUUAGAGUAAUGUCUAAGUAUCAUUAAGUGAAUACAUAGCUUAAUGAGGGGAACUCAGGGAACUGAAACAUCUAAGUACCUGAAGGAAGAGAAAGAAAUUCGAUUCCGUAAGUAGCGGCGAGCGAACGCGGAUUAGCCCAAACCAAUAAAGUUUUCUUUAUUGGGGUUGCGGACAUAUCAUAACGAAGAGGUAUCGUAAUUGAAGAGGUUUGGAAAGACCUACCACAGAAGGUAAUAGUCCUGUAUGUUAAACGAGAAGACUUUAGAUAUGAUCCAGAGUACCACGGGAC
This 421-nucleotide ribosomal RNA is filed under the name Clostridioides difficile. RNAcentral describes it as "partial 23S ribosomal RNA". It matches the Rfam family "Bacterial large subunit ribosomal RNA", at positions 1 to 423 of the family's 2925-position model. The record is from RNAcentral. Lineage: Bacteria; Bacillati; Bacillota; Clostridia; Peptostreptococcales; Peptostreptococcaceae.